This 301-nucleotide ribosomal RNA is filed under the name uncultured bacterium. Its description in RNAcentral is "partial 16S ribosomal RNA". It matches the Rfam family "Bacterial small subunit ribosomal RNA", at positions 509 to 807 of the family's 1533-position model. The record is from RNAcentral.
CAGCAGCCGCGGUAAUACGUAGGGUGCAAGCGUUAAUCGGAAUUACUGGGCGUAAAGCGUGCGCAGGCGGUUAUAUAAGACAGAUGUGAAAUCCCCGGGCUCAACCUGGGAACUGCAUUUGUGACUGUAUAGCUAGAGUACGGCAGAGGGGGAUGGAAUUCCGCGUGUAGCAGUGAAAUGCGUAGAUAUGCGGAGGAACACCGAUGGCGAAGGCAAUCCCCUGUGCCUGUACUGACGCUCAUGCACGAAAGCGUGGGGAGCAAACAGGAUUAGAUACCCGAGUAGUCCCUGUCUCUUAUAC